GCCGAAAUAGCUCAGUUGGGAGAGUGUUAGACGGGAGAUUUAAAGGAACUCGGUUCAAUCCCGGGUUUCGGCA
RNAcentral lists this transfer RNA (73 nucleotides) under Callorhinchus milii (elephant shark). RNAcentral describes it as "tRNA-Ser (GGA) (tRNA-Ser-GGA-1-1)". It matches the Rfam family "tRNA". From Rfam's summary of the family: Transfer RNA (tRNA) molecules are approximately 80 nucleotides in length. Their secondary structure includes four short double-helical elements and three loops (D, anti-codon, and T loops). Further hydrogen bonds mediate the characteristic L-shaped molecular structure. tRNAs have two regions of fundamental functional importance: the anti-codon, which is responsible for specific mRNA codon recognition, and the 3' end, to which the tRNAs corresponding amino acid is attached (by aminoacyl-tRNA synthetases). tRNAs cope with the degeneracy of the genetic code in two manners: having more than one tRNA (with a specific anti-codon) for a particular amino acid; and 'wobble' base-pairing, i.e. permitting non-standard base-pairing at the 3rd anti-codon position. The record is from Rfam by way of RNAcentral. Lineage: Eukaryota; Metazoa; Chordata; Chondrichthyes; Chimaeriformes; Callorhinchidae.